AAGACACUGAGGAACAACAAGCCCAACAUGGUCGACCUCCUGGAUCAGUACAAGUUCUGCUACGAGGUGGCCCUGGAAUACUUGAAUUCUGGCUGAUGGUGUAAACAGCUCUGCAAACAAUCCCUUUCAUACCACAAAGCCAAGACGUUCCAUGGUAUUUGUGCAAAAGAGAUGAAGACUUCUCAAUAUGCUUAUUUUGCUUUGCAUAAUUGGCUCUUUUUAAGAGCCCAAGAAAGUGUUUCUAAAAUUGCUUGCACUGCCCAAUCCCAGUAAUGCUGCUGCCUGACAGAAACACACACACAGCCACAGUUGCCAAAUCCCGUACUCCUUGCCACCGGCUUCCUAGAGCAGCGUAGACAGCUGGUAAACUGAAGAGCACAACUAUAUUCUUAUGAAGGAAUUUGUACCUUUGGGGUAUUAUUUUGUGGCCCGUGACCCUCGUUAUUGUUACAGCUGAGUGUAUGUUUUUGUUCUGUGGAGAAUGCUAUCUGGCAUUAUGGUAAUAUAUUAUUUUAGGUAAUAUUUGUACUUUAACAUGUUGCAUAAUAUAUGCUUAUGUAGCUUUCCAGGACUAACAGAUAAAUGUGUAAUGAACAAAGAUAUGUUGUAUGAGUCGUCGUUUCUGUCAGAUUUGUAUUGUUUCCAAGGGAAAAGCUUGGGGGAGGACUCAGUUCACAAAAUGCAAAACUCAACGAUCAGAUUCACGGACCCAGAGCUUUUCCAUGUGUUUAUAUUGUAAAUAUUUUUGAUUUCAUCAAAUUAUUUAUUCAUUAAAAGAAAUUU
This 783-nucleotide long non-coding RNA is filed under the name Homo sapiens (human). Its description in RNAcentral is "HSALNT0247601". Lineage: Eukaryota; Metazoa; Chordata; Mammalia; Primates; Hominidae. The record is from RNAcentral.